CCUACGGGAGGCAGCAGUGAGGAAUAUUGGUCAAUGGCCGAGAGGCUGAACCAGCCAAGUCGCGUGAGGGAAGAAUGUCCUAUGGAUUGUAAACCUCUUUUGUCAGGGAGCAAAGUCACCCACGUGUGGGUGUUGGCGAGUACCUGAAGAAAAAGCAUCGGCUAACUCCGUGCCAGCAGCCGCGGUAAUACGGAGGAUGCGAGCGUUAUCCGGAUUUAUUGGGUUUAAAGGGUGCGUAGGCGGGUUAUCAAGUCAGCGGUAAAAUUGUGGAGCUCAACUCCAUCCAGCCGUUGAAACUGGUAGACUUGAGUUGGCGAGAAGUAUGCGGAAUGCGUGGUGUAGCGGUGAAAUGCAUAGAUACCGCGCAGAACUCCGAUUGCGAAGGCAGCGUACCGGCGCCCGACUGACGCUGAAGCACGAAAGCGUGGGUAUCGAACAGGAUUAGAUACCCGAGUAGUC
RNAcentral lists this ribosomal RNA (459 nucleotides) under uncultured bacterium. Its description in RNAcentral is "partial 16S ribosomal RNA". It matches the Rfam family "Bacterial small subunit ribosomal RNA", at positions 338 to 795 of the family's 1533-position model. The record is from RNAcentral.